RNAcentral lists this long non-coding RNA (2427 nucleotides) under Gigantopelta aegis. Its description in RNAcentral is "uncharacterized LOC121372115". The record is from RNAcentral. Lineage: Eukaryota; Metazoa; Mollusca; Gastropoda; Neomphalida; Peltospiridae.
GCUUUUACCCCCUCCCCCCUUCCGAACAUUGUUCGGAUUGUGAAGCACAUCGAUAUUUAUGGACCGUCCCUAACGCCAGUGACUGGGUCCAGGGCACGGCGUAAGAAGGAGCCAAAAAGUGGGGUGGGGGUGUAUAAAAACCAUCGCUGCUGCCCGCCCCCCCACCCCCACCCCUCAACCUCCAUUUAACACACACACACUAAAAAUAAUCCAUAAAUGCUGAAAACAUACUUAAGAAAAUAGGCCAUGAUGUCCUUACGUUUUUGUGGAUACGGUCAUAUGACAGAAUGGGAUUUCCCUCCACAUUUUUUAUUCUAUAAUUAAAUGGGUCAUUUGGUCAAUCUUGUUAUUACAAUCAUGUUUAUUAUUUUUUUUAUUAUUGUUAAAUAUAGAAUUUAGAACAAAAAUAAUAUAAAGAUUAAAUUUUUAAAAACCUAAAUGAUUUGGUUUGAACAUUUAUUUAUUUAAUUAUUUGUAAUUUAUUUAAUUAUUUGUAUUUCAAAUAAUUUAACACUGAACAUUUCAUCCCUUUUCCUAAAGCUUUGAUUGUAUUGUUCUGAAACGUAAUACACAUAUUCUCUUGGUAGUCUCCACAAAAUAAUAAAGAUGUCUAAACUUGUAAAAACAUUGUUUUGUUGUUGUUUUUGUUUGGGUUUUUUUUAAUUAAUGAGAUUGUAAAAUUGAAAUAGAAAUCUUGAUUGGUUAAUUCUGAAACUUAGAACAUGUAUUCUACAGUGAUUCUCUGGAGAUACAUAUCUACUUUUAUUAUAGAUUAUUUUAUUUUAUUUCUUUAAUGUUAAGACUUUAACAUAACUGUCCAGCCAUUCAAAUAUAAUUUUCUUUCAGUCAUACUCCAUCUGCUCAGAUGGUCCGAAACCAGUGGACUUUGAUCCAUUACCUGCUGUAAUGAGAUGGAACAGCAGCAGUGUUUGUUCAAGGAGACCAGAUACGUCAUAAUCUCUCUCCACCAAAGUUGUCUUUAAGGACACCACAAAAAAAUUAAAAUACUGUUUUGUUUAAUGACACCACUACAAUACUUUUGAUGUAUUGAUGAAUGACCAAUUUAACAGAAUUACAGAUAAACGUUUUUUUCUGGUUAAAUUGACAUCCUAAAAAAGACUGCCUUGGUGCCCUUUGAAAAUGUAUGAACGUAGCCUUUGUGCCUUUUAGGUUAGCCUUGGUGCCCUUCAUUUCCUAGAUUUUUAAAGGCUAUUAUAGCCUGCCCUUUUAACACCGAAUUUCGAGGCCUGAUACAGGACUGAUAAUAAUAAAUUUCAAUUAAUUAUAUAUAUAUUCUUCAGCUUGUUUCAUCAGGUCCUAUUACUGGCUUUGCCAAUUGCCAAUUUGGCUGCUCUUUGCAGUGUCGGCAUGGUAUAGGUUCACGUUCCUGUAUGGAUUUGCUGAUUUGCACCCAGUUGUCUUGUUUUUUGCAUCCAGUUUUGCGUGGAUAUGAUUUUCACUUGUAAAGUAGAUACACAUAUAUUCAUAGUCUUGGCGUUAGUUAUUCAUCCAUUGAUUUAUUUUGUCAUUAGAUACAUAUGGAUAUAGACAAUGAUGUGAAAAAAAAGAAAAAUAAUAAUAAUAAUAAUUAAAAAAAAGAAAAAAAUAAUAAAAAAGAAAAUAAAAAAAGAUAAAAGAAAAAAAAGAAAAAAAAAGAUAAUAAUAAAUAAUGAUCAAUUUUUGUGCUGGUUCCCUCUCUUGGAUUUUUAUUACAGAUAUAAUGCUGCCAAAGCGAACAGCAGCUUUGGCAAACAGAGCUGUCCAAAGUAAAGCAGCUAAAAGAGCCAAAGCUCCCAGGACGACUUUGUCGGAAGAGACGCCCAGCGGCUCAACACAGGAAUCUGCACCAGUCACGCUAGCUAUGUCGCCGCAGGAACUGAAGACACUCAUUCAAGAAGCCUUUAGCCAAGGAGUUUCAGCAGCCAAACAACAGCUGCAGGGAGCAGCAGACCUGUCAACCUUUAGUCAAGAGAAAGCAGGAGGUGAAAGGAGAUUUGAUCAAAUACCGGGAGACUCCCGCGGAAUCCGGGAGGGUUGACAGGUCUGGGGAGCAGUGCCAGUAGCAUCAGAAGCUGCCAUAGAAGCUGCUGCCAUAGAAGUAUUGGAGCCAGGCCCACCACCCACACAGGAAGCUGCACAAGCAGAACCGUAUAUUAUUAGUGACAAUCUCUACUAUGAAGCUAAGGGCAAACACCAGCUGGUAUGCCAUUCCAAAGAAGAGCGUGUAUCUGCCCUGCAGCACUGCCAUGAUGAACUAGGAACUGGUCGACAUUGGGUCAGGAACAAAACACUGGAUAAGUUACAAGAAUCCUAUUACUGGCUGGGGAUAUGUUGGAAAGAUGCAUACCCGGACCACCAACACAUACUGACACUUUAAAAAAAUGAAAAAUGCACCGUUUUUGAGUUAAUAAAAAAACAUGAAUAAUG